This 247-nucleotide ribosomal RNA is filed under the name uncultured beta proteobacterium. Its description in RNAcentral is "partial 16S ribosomal RNA". It matches the Rfam family "Bacterial small subunit ribosomal RNA", at positions 796 to 1041 of the family's 1533-position model. Lineage: Bacteria; Pseudomonadati; Pseudomonadota; Betaproteobacteria. The record is from RNAcentral.
CACGCCCUAAACGAUGUCAACUGGGUGUUGGGGAAGCGAUUCCUUGGUACCGUAGCUAACGCGUGAAGUUGACCGCCUGGGGAGUACGGCCGCAAGGUUAAAACUCAAAGGAAUUGACGGGGACCCGCACAAGCGGUGGAUGAUGUGGAUUAAUUCGAUGCAACGCGAACAACCUUACCUACCCUUGACAUGUCCGGAACCCUGCUGAGAGGUGGGGGUGCCCGAAAGGGAAUCGGAACACAGGUGC